AUCCAACUGACGAGUCCCAAAUAGGAUGAAGUGACGCGCAUCAAAAUGGAU
Molecule: non-coding RNA, 51 nt
Organism: Schistosoma mansoni
Lineage: Eukaryota; Metazoa; Platyhelminthes; Trematoda; Strigeidida; Schistosomatidae
Source: Rfam